GUGUUGCGGGAGAUCCCGAGUAUGACGGCGAUCUCAUCGCUCGUCUU
This 47-nucleotide small RNA is filed under the name Sinorhizobium meliloti 2011. RNAcentral describes it as "putative ncRNA". Lineage: Bacteria; Pseudomonadati; Pseudomonadota; Alphaproteobacteria; Hyphomicrobiales; Rhizobiaceae. The record is from RNAcentral.